AUUAUAGUACACUUAACCAACAGCCGCAUGUGCGUUGUUUUUGUUGACAUUAUACUAAUAUUGUUAUAAGUAUAAAAGUGGGAUCAUAGCGGAUUUGUGUUGAAGUGCGCGUCUGACAGUGCCGGAGACGUGAAACGAGCUAAGCUAAAUUAAGCUAAACUAAGGUACGCUACGCUAAGCUAAGCUAGAAAGUGGAUAGCGGUCCUAACAGCAUUAAGUAACCGCGGUGGAGUAGCGUGUUUAGCUGACGGGAUUUAGGCAGCUACAGGCGGGCAGUGAGAGUCACACAGCGAGCUGGUGUGCAGGAGCUGCAGUUAAACAGUGCACUCUGUUAUUCACUGAUCACUCACACAGGCACAGAAGUGCUGAAGGCGUUUAGCUCACUGAACGCUACACCUGCACGCCGGCUUUUUAUGACUAGGAUUAUAAGUGAAUGUUCCAGUGUUAGAGCACUAACGCUAGCAAAACUAGUCGGGACAAACCAGCUAGAGCUUAGCUGACGUUUUAAUCAACCGGUGUCGAAGCUCAGUAGAUAACGGCAGAGUUUGGAGUUUUUACUGCUUUGAAUGCACACGUAAAGACACGAUGAGCCUCCAGGAGCAGCACGGAGCGUCAUCAUCAUCAUCGUUAUCCUCCUCGUCCUCCUCAGCUAGGCGCUCAAACUGUCGAGCCAAAUCUCACUAGCCAGUCAGAUUUCCCCUGUGAAGACAUUUGACAUGCAUGUUACGAAGGAUAAGCCAACGUAAAGAUCAGAGAGCUGUCUCUGGGUGACGAGCAGACCAUUUUGAAGCUAAGAAAAGAGGGAAAAUCAAUCCGAGACAUCGCAUAAGCAUUGGGCAUAGCCAAUACAACAAUUUGGAAUGUCCUGAAAAAGAAUGAAACCACUGGUGUACUGAGCAACAGACAGCGAAACAUUGUGAGAGCUGUGAAGACAACCCCCAAAAUAACACUUAGUGACGCCAUCAAUAACCUCCACAGGGUUGAUGGUAUCACAAACCACCAUUUGAAGAAGACUUCAAGAGCAGAAAUGUAGAGGCCAUACAAUUCUAUAAUAUGAAAACCACUCAUCAGCUGUAAGAAUCUGAAGGCCACAUUGGAAUUCGCAGAGAAAUACAGAGAUGAGCCACAAAAGUUCUGGAGCCAAGAUUAACCCCUACCAAAGUGUGGAGAAGGAAAGGAUCUGCUCAUGAUCCAAAACAUGUAAGCUCAUCUGUGAAACAUGGUGUUGGUAGUGUCAUGACUUACAUGACUGCUUCUGGAGCAGGAUCACUAAUCUUUAUUCAUGAAGUAACUCAUGAUGUUAAAAGCAGAAUGAAAUCAGAAGUUUACAGGAACAUUCUGUCUGCCAGUUCACAGAGAAAUGCAUCCAAAUUAAUCAGGAGGAACUUUAUCAUGCAGCAAGAUAAUGAUCCAAAAACACACUGCCAACUCAACAAAGGACUUCAUCAGGGGGGAAAGUGGAAGGUUUUAGACUGGCAGUUUCAAUCACCAAACCGUAACCCUAUUGAGCACAACUGAAAGAAGCUGCGGUAAAAUCCUGGAAAAGCAUCACAAAAGAAGAACCCCCAAAAUCUGGUGAUAUCAGUGAGUCGCAG
Ictalurus punctatus (channel catfish) is the source of this 1595-nucleotide long non-coding RNA. The record is from Ensembl. Lineage: Eukaryota; Metazoa; Chordata; Actinopteri; Siluriformes; Ictaluridae.